UCUUGUUCAAGGCACUGCAACACUUUUAAAAAAUAAUUUUUUUGUUCCAUGUGCAGUCCAGACUGGCUCAAACUCAUGGCAGUCCUCCACCUCAGCCUUCCAAGUGCCGGGAUUAUGGGUGUGCAUCGCCGCACCCCAAUAAAGCACAGCAAUUCACAGGUGGUCUCCCUGUCUCGAGACAGCAGGCCUGAACUUUGGUUAAAAGAGCAUCAAAAAGUCAGCUGUCCUUCACAAACAAAGGGAAGAUUCUGGUAGAGAUACCCCAACUACUCCACACUUAGCAUUAAAUUCUUAUGGCCACAGUGUCUAGCCUGACAUGGAGACUGGGAACUCCACAUUUCUCUCAGCCC
Molecule: long non-coding RNA, 350 nt
Filed under: Fukomys damarensis (Damara mole-rat)
Lineage: Eukaryota; Metazoa; Chordata; Mammalia; Rodentia; Bathyergidae
Description: lncRNA (ENSFDAG00000026699.1)
Source: RNAcentral